GUGGGGAAUUUUGGACAAUGGGGGAAACCCCGAUCCAGCGACGCCGCGUGAAGGAUGAAGGCCUUCGGGUUGUAAACUUCUUUUGGAGGGGACGAAUAAAUUGACGGUACCCUCAGAAAAAGCCACGGCUAACUACGUGCCAGCAGCCGCGGUAAUACGUAGGUGGCGAGCGUUACUCGGAAUUACUAGGCGUAAAGCGUAUGUAGGCGGUUGUAUAAGUCUAUGGUGAAAUUUCCUGGCUCAACUGGGAAGGGACAUAGAUACUGUAUGGCUUGAGUGUUGGAGGGGGAGACGGAAUUCCUGGUGUAGCGGUGAAAUGCGUAGAUAUCAGGAGGAACACCGAUGGCGAAAGCAGUCUCCUGGCCAAAUACUGACGCUGAGGUACGAAAGCUAGGGUAGCAAACAGGAUUAGAUACCCUUGUAGUCC
RNAcentral lists this ribosomal RNA (427 nucleotides) under uncultured bacterium. Its description in RNAcentral is "partial 16S ribosomal RNA". It matches the Rfam family "Bacterial small subunit ribosomal RNA", at positions 354 to 796 of the family's 1533-position model. The record is from RNAcentral.